CAAAGGUAAAAUAUUUUUAAGAUAUGGAAAACAUGUUAAAAAGCUGUCUUCUGUCCUUUGUACAGGAACAGUGUGAGUCCUUAUCAAACUCGCCUCCUCCUGCUCUUCUGAAUCAAUUACCGUCCUGUCCUUCGGGGCCCAGAGCAGAUCCCUCCCCUAGGGGCAUCGCCCUUGGUGCCGUGGCCGCCGGGACCUUGGGUGUUGUGGGGGACCCUUCGCCUGGGUCGAGGCCCCCUUUCUUCUGGACCACCCCAGGGCUUCCGUGGCUACCAUGGCCACUGCCUGGGGGUGGUCUACCAGCAGGUUGCGGGAGGACCGCAGUGCAUCCUUCAGACAUAUGAGUGUGGGCCAGAGCUUGGUUGAAAGCCUUCGGUGGAAUAGGCCUUUCGGCCCACCCCAUACAGCACGAGCUGGGGCAUUAGGUCCUCCCCUGCUGGCAGACAUUGGGAGAUCAGGGGGCCUGCUUCCUUCCACAGUCGGGGGCAUGCGGUUGUCCUCGCCAUGCCCCGGGAGUGCAUAACGGCCCUGACCGGGAGGAUCUCAUGGGCGACCAUCCAGGACAGGUCCCGUUGCCGAUUCAGCAGAACAGGAUUGGCCACGUUGCACCAAACCGUUGUGGGCUCACCUAUAGCAAGCCUGCACACUCUAAACACUGGUUCCCACUCCUACACAAGAGAGAGAAGAGAGCUGUGUUUAGUUAAAACCGUGAUUGCCUGUUUUUCCAGUUUAAAAUGUUUUUAAAACUUUUGGAGUUGGACAUAGUGUGUGGGGAGCAGGAAAGAGACUGGGGCUUGCAUGUCAACUGGGAUCAGCCCUAGUCCUGAGGUAUGAUCCCAGCCAGAACCGUGCGAGGGCCUGGGUCUUGUUGUUGACCGGGGAGUUGGCUAGAGUGAGAUGUAAUGCUGUGUAGCAGCGGCCCAAGAACAAGUAGUCAGACAAGACUUUCCCCCUCUUGGACCUGGGCCUCUUAACCACCUACCUCCUCAGCCUCUCCCACUUGCUUCCCUACAGAAAGUAAAAUAGCAUCCACUCCAGAGCUAAAAGAGUUGUAUGUGGGGGGGAUCUAAACAGAACUGAUUCAUAAAAUAUCAUAUUCACUUAAGAUCUCACUUGGUGAAGGUCACAGGACUGAACAGGAAUGAAUGUAACAACCAUGUCUCUGUCACUAGCAAACAGUCAUAAGUGAUACUGGCAACUCUAAAAUUCACUUGGAAGGCACACUGGGAAAUAUGGAAAUAUGUCUCAACACCCUACAGCAUUAAAACAACACCCAAUUGCAAUUAUCAAUGCAGUUCGGUAAAGAACCAUCAUGUUUCUUGUAGAACCUUAUAUUGAUUUGUGUACAGUUCUACAAAGAACCAUCCCAUUUAAGGUUUUGGCAUCGCUCUGAAUAACAUUCCAACCGGAACCUUUAUUUUUAAGAGUGUAGAUGAAUAAGCUACCCUAACCUGUAAUAGUAGGCUGCAGUGGGAAUGUGAAAGUAAAUGAGACUAUAGCCCAUCAGCAUUAUAGGCCUAUGCAACCGCUGCGGGAGGAGUGAAGUCUGUUGUCAUUGUUGUUCUUCUUGUCUCUCUAUACACAGUAUGUCUAUACGUGUUUAUCCUACGAUGGAGGAUGUGGACCAAGAUUUACCAACAGAGUUUGCAAUUUUUCAAAAUCAUGGAAGGUUCAGCAAAUGCGCCCAACUUUGAAAAAAAAGACAUUUGUCAUGACUUCCUCUUUGGACGUUGCUCUCAACAAGCCAAGUGCAUGGGCGUUCAUUCUACUAUGCCAUACCAACGAGAGGUGGAGAAUGGACGUGGCUGGUCACGUAUCCCAGACAAUGAGGGCAUUGAAAGGGACUACUGUGACCCAGCAAACACACAGAGGUAUGUAUGUUCACAACGUGUUGUUAGGAUGCCGUGAGACAAUGGGGAUGUGUAAAAAUGAAAUAAAAGCAUUGAAGAUGUUCCUUUGUCCUACAGUUGCAGGAUACUUUACCCUGUUGCAGGAUACUUUUUGUAGUUAACUUUAUCACCAUGACUCGUGGGCACCGCAAAGUUUGCCGCCUUGCUACGGUUUCCUCCCGGGACCAGCCAGAUGCUGUCUUUGCUACCAAGUGGACCUGGUACUGGGAGGAAAACCAUGGUGGCUGGACUCCAUAUUUGUCACCAGUAUGUAGUGAUGAUACCUAAUUUCUCCCUCUAAUAUGGCACAAAGAAAAUAGGAAUGUGUGUGUGUGUGUGUGUCUCUCCUAAGACUGUGGAGGACCUAGAGAGGGUGUACAUGGAUCCCUCCCGUGGCUCACUGAUUGAGUUUACUGCUGGAAGAUUCACCUAUGAAGUAAAUUUGGAAGGUAGGCAGGUAUCAGAUGUGAUUCAGUAUGGUGUAGGUACAGUACAGUUAAAAUACUGGUCAUAAAAACAGGUUUACGGAACACUAAAGAUUGAACAAUGAAACAUGUUGUCCCAUCUGAAUAUCACAGGAUAGUCAAAUUUCAUUGUUGAUAGGGAGUACCUUGUAUGUUGUGUCUGUAGGUUACUCAUCAAUUUUUGUAUACCUGUUUUAGUCUCUGAACUGAGAAAUAUAUAUUUUUAGUCAUGAUCCAGAUAAAUACAAGCUCACACACCCAAAGACUGGUUAGAAGACGGCCGAUGUUCAAAUCAUCCAUAGAUGUUCAGAGAGCUACUGGGUAAGAGUGAAAUACAGCAAACUCAAUUGAUGAUUGAUUUUCUAGGGGAAGGAUACAACAUUAUGUAAUUAGAUUUUGGUUCACUGAGUAUGAUAUUGGGUCUCUAGAUUUGUAUUAUCUUUGCGGUAUGAUGAGGACCAUGUGUUUGUUGAGGACACUUGGAAUGCCCUCAUUUCUUUCUUAAGCACAUCUAAUACCACCACUUCUUCUGUGCCACAUUUUUGGGACCAGUCUCGGGUGCCUGGGAUUGGCUUUGAGGUAAUACAAAACACUGAGCAUUGUGUCAAUACUCACUGACUGGGAGUCUGACGUUACAUUGAAAUAACAUUGAAGAUGAAUUAGCUUAUGAGGACUUUGUCUUACUGUAAAUCUGUCUUCAGCAAUAAAGUGAUCUGCUGUACCGAUAUUGUGCAGGAAAAAGUAAGAUAAAUGAUUUUGUCUUAGUUAAUGAUCAUACCAGAUGAUGUAAAGCAUGGGUUGGCCAAGUUUUCCAUUCCAAUUUGAAUGGCAAAGCAAAUAUAUAUAUUUUCCAUUAAUGUAUUUUGUAAAUUAGUGUUUAGUUGCAGAUUUAUUUGUUAGAUUAGUAAUGCAUAAUUGACUGUAUGGACACUCCCAAGACCUUAGUAUUGUGUGUCCAAGCAAUAGAAAGUUAAGGCUACUCAACUGUCAGCAGUUGGCAAGGUCAGGGAUGAACUGUGUAUUGUGAUUUGAUAAUAAGGGGUGGCAGGUAGCCUAGUGGUAGAGUGUUGGACUAGUAACAGGAAGGUUGCAAUAUCAAAUCCCCGAGCUGACAAGGUAAAAAUCUGUCGUUCUGCCCCUGAACAGGCAGUUAACCCACUGUUCUUAGGCCGUCAUUGAAAAUAAGAAUUUGUUCUUAACUGACUUGCCUAGUUAAAUAAAGGUAAACUAUAAAGUAGGGAAACUACACAAAUGUAGUUUGAUCAUUUCUUGGGUUCACAGUACAUACAGUACGCUAAUAAACGUUUGCUUGUCAUUUUAUUUUUAUUUUUAAACUAUUUCUUACCUUGACACCAUUACCAACAGUGCUGAAAGAAGAUUUAGUAAUACAACUACCAUGGACUAAAUUCUGGUAAUAGGACCCUGGGUUGUACCAAAUAAGUUUGGAUAUAGGACAGAUGUCAUAAAAUGGUCAAUGUGAAGUUCUGAAAAAUGUUUCAGGAUAAUUUUAACCAACUUUGGAUCUAAAUAGAACUUUGUCAGGUGUGUCCAUUAGUCUCCUCCCAUGCCACCAACAUUUACCUCUCCUCCUUUAGUACCUUUAGGGCCUAUGGUAAUUUCAUGUUGUAUGUUUUAUGAAGAUGAAAAAACAAAUCUCUAUCCAUCAAUCAAGUUGAAUAUGAAACUGAUGUUAUCUUGAAUGUUUGUAAAUGUAAUUUAAGGAAAUACUUUAAUAUUAAACUUCUGAAAACUACAUUUUAAAUCUGAAUAUUGAAAAAAAAUAUAUAUGUGAAUGCAAUAGCCUAGUUAUCAAGUUUGUCGCUAGGAGUUGAACUAUGGUCCUAUGACCUUUUGCCUUGACAAAGACGAGAGGCCAAGAAAAAUGGUAGAAAUGUUAUUCAUACUUGGAAGACAAAAUAAUUCGACAAAAUGUUGCAGGAAUGCUUAUUUGAUCUGUGUUUAAUCUGAGAUGGUUGGUGUCAUGGCUUGCUGAAAUAAAAUGGAAAGACCAUACAUCCAAAUGAUAUUGCGUUUACAUAGGGGUGCAAGUUGUAAACACUCACAAAAGCUCUGAAGAAGGCCUUGGGCCGAUAUGUGAAGCUUAAUAAAAGGGCAGUGAUA
Molecule: long non-coding RNA, 4471 nt
Organism: Oncorhynchus masou masou (cherry salmon)
Lineage: Eukaryota; Metazoa; Chordata; Actinopteri; Salmoniformes; Salmonidae
Exons: 3
Source: RefSeq, a predicted model, not a curated record